Molecule: ribosomal RNA, 229 nt
Filed under: uncultured bacterium
Lineage: Bacteria
Description: partial 16S ribosomal RNA
Rfam family: Bacterial small subunit ribosomal RNA
Source: RNAcentral
CGGGGUGAGUAAUGUCUGGGAAACUGCCCGAUGGAGGGGGAUAACUACUGGAAACGGUAGCUAAUACCGCAUAACGUCGCAAGACCAAAGAGGGGGACCUUAGGGCCUCUUGCCAUCGGAUGUGCCCAGAUGGGAUUAGCUAGUAGGUGGGGUAAUGGCUCACCUAGGCGACGAUCCCUAGCUGGUCUGAGAGGAUGAUCAGCCACACUGGGACUGAGACACGGCCUAG